AUAAGAUCACCCCUGAGCCUCCUCUUCUCCAGCAGCUUAUUUUAAGCCAAUAUCCAGGCUAAAUUUAAGGUUGUAUUCAACAUAAACAUAAUGAUAACAUUAGAUGGGGUGCUGGCAGAGUUCUGGUGUGGGACAGGGGACAUCUCUGUUCAUUUGCCGUGACAGACAGCAGACACUAAGACCGACCUUGAUUAAAACAGCUUGUUUUGGUUCCCAUCUGUGAAAGGGAGCUAAUAUCUUCCUGCCACAGAGGCAUGACUUGAGAAUAAUGUUUAUUCGUGCCCCUGAGACAGUUAGUCAGUGAGGUUUACAUAGAUGCUUGAUAGUUUCACCAGCUGUAACACCAAGCAGUGACACAGGCUAUGAACAGUGUGCCUAGGAAGGAGGUAUUCCACCUACUAGAAGAAGUCAUACCUGUGCAGCACCUAAGAGUAUAGCUAAAUUCCACCUAUAUUCUAUUUAUAUAAUCAUAGAAUAGAAUCAUAGAAUCAGUCAGAUUGGAAGGGACCACAAGGAUCAUCUAGUUCCAAUCCCCCUGCCAUGGGCAGGGACACCUCACACUAGAGCAGGCUGUCUAGAGCCUCAUCCAGCCUGGCCUUAAACACCUCCAGAGAUGGAGCCUCAACCACCAUAAAUUUGUAUUUAUAUCUCUGUUAUUUUUCCCAUAUCCACUUUCUGUUCCAUGCUUUUCAGUUGUGUUGCAUUUACUCUUUCUAAUGUUUUGGAGUUUGAGUUUUUUUAACCUUGUAAAGGAAGAAUGAUUGAGACUGUCCACAAAGCCUUACAGUGGAAGAAGAUUCAGAGGAAAUGGACAAGGAGCCAUAUCCAUGAAGCUCAGGGAAUAACGUGGGAUUUGACUGACCACAGCUGUUGCAAAGAAGCUAGCUUAUCUCAGCACCAAAGGGAGCAGAGAGAGGUUGGCCUCUGGUUUAGGUAAACAGUAACCAAGAGUUGAGUGAAUCAGCUGGUGGUGGAAAUGUUUUUCCCUGAGUUCAUUAGAAGAAUCACAGAAUAUUAGGGGCUGGAAGGGACCUCAAAAGGUCAUCCAGACCAACACCCCCUGCCAUAGUAGGAUCACUCUUUUUUUACAGUCCAGUUUUCUUUUUUCUUUUGUUAUUCCACUUCUCCCCCAUCUUCCUCCUUUCCUCUUCAUCUCUGCCAUCUUCAUCCUUUUCUUUCCAUCUCCUUCCUCUUCAUCUCCUUCUUGUCCCCACAUCCAUCUCCAUUGUUUUCCUCUCCACCUCCCUUAUUCAGCCCCACUUCCCCUUUUCCUCCAUACCUGCCCCCUUCCCACCCCACACCUCAUUUUGCCCUUUUCUCCCCAGAUUCAGAGCACCUGGGUUCUGUUGGAGUCUCCUCCCACCCCAGGUGUGAUCACUUUCCCCUCCCUGCCCACUCCCCUACUUAAUGGCCCCAGGAAAGGCAGAAGCUCCAAGCUUGCCCAACUGGGCAGAGGGAUCCUCAUCCCAUCCUCACUGCUGACUCCUUAUCUAGCUUCCUAUAUCUCAUCCCCUGCAUGUAAGAGAUUCUGAAGUAAGGGAGGCAGGAUGGAAGAAAGAGUAGUUGGUUUGAAAGCCCUUUUGGGCAGUUCUGCUGUUCAGGAGGGGUUUCUGUAUUACCUUUAACUUGUAUGUAGUUCUGGCUGAGUUAAUCUGGUGAAUUCAUGGGGAACCAAGAAACUCCUGAACUACCACACCAACAUAUGCCUUCCUGGCAGCUGGAGGUACAGAGUGUCACUAUGGUGAUCACAUUAUAGAGACCAGUAAAGGGAAUAGCAUUGGCAUUGUGGUUGAACUGUGUAUUACAAUUGCUGUAUGUGCAUUUUGCCAAGUGUAACUUCCCUGUGUGUUGUGCUGUGCAAUAUAUCUUGUAUCCCUCUGCUGAAGCAGAAAUCUCAUGUAACAUAGCCUUUCAAUAAAUGAAUUUGUUGUUAAGCAUUA
Pogoniulus pusillus (Red-fronted tinkerbird) is the source of this 1940-nucleotide long non-coding RNA. RefSeq lists it as uncharacterized. The record is from RefSeq and is a predicted model, not a curated record. Lineage: Eukaryota; Metazoa; Chordata; Aves; Piciformes; Lybiidae. The transcript has 3 exons.